Long non-coding RNA from Austrofundulus limnaeus, 1313 nucleotides. RefSeq lists it as uncharacterized. The transcript is spliced from 2 exons. The record is from RefSeq and is a predicted model, not a curated record. Lineage: Eukaryota; Metazoa; Chordata; Actinopteri; Cyprinodontiformes; Rivulidae.
UUGACUAAUUACGGAUCUAACCUUGUCUUACCAAUUCUGUCUGCUCGCACACUACAUUUCUGCUGACAUGCCAUGAUGAGCAAUACAUUUUGUCACGUACUUCAAGACUUUAUUUGAAACACACAAUGAACUUUUAAUAGAACUUUGAUGAACUUUAAUAAAAACCUUUUCAGUUGCCUUUAUAUUCUUUGUCCUGUGUUUAGUCUGCGUCGGAUCAUUGCACUUUGUAGCCCGUCUGGUUCUUCAUGUCUUUUGCCACGUCUCGUCCAAGUGAGUUUUUCAGCUGCCUCGUUAGCCUUUUUGAUUUAAUAAAGCUUUGUUUUUUCUUCACCCGAACUCUGCCUGUGCCCUGGGUCAUUCUACGUCUAAACCUGACAGCAAGAGUUUAGAAUUCAAGAUGGCAGCUACUUUUUACAACUCAACAGUCUCGAAGGGAAUCCCAGACAUCCCUCUCCUCAGAAACACUUCCUGAGGGCAUUCCAAGAGGAUUCAAGUUCUGGGUCUGCCCCGGAGUCUCCUUCCAGUGGGACGUGCCUGGAAAGCAUCCAGAUGGAGGUUCCUAGAAAGCAUCCUAAUCAGACGUCAGAACGGAAAAGAGGAAGAAACCCAUUUCAACUGUUUGUAUCAGAUCUCAGACUAAAACCAAACCUUUCAUUUUCAACUCAACUCAGUUCUUUCUUCAAUUGACUAAAGUGACCCCCCUCAUCACUGCUAAAAGGCCAACAUCCAUCCAUCCAUCCAUCCAUCCAUCCAUCCAUCCAUCCAUCCAUCCAUCCAUCCAUCCAUCCAUCCAUCCAUCCAUCCAUCCAUCCAUCCAUCACUCCCAGAUGAGCUCCUUGAGGCAAAGGUAAAAAUGAACCAAAUCAAUAAGGUGUUUCUGUAUCGUUUUUUUCUGAACCGUUAAAAGAACUUGCCUGUACCCUUUGAAACGACCUUUGCCUCGUCUAUUUUCUUUUAAAAAGAAUUGAAACCCUUAAAAAGGGAACUUACAGAUUUUUUGGAUGUAACACCGCRGUUAAAGACUUAUUUUAUUCAAAUUGUUGUUUUAUGAUUAAAUACCCGCGACACAAAUUACACGAGCUGACGUUUCUGUUUACUGCCGUUAAUUAAAUGUCAGCAGGCGGACUUUUUUCAGAAACGGAGACAGAGAUUGUUAAAGAGGGAGCGCAUCUGUGUGAUUCCAUCAAAUGACUCAUUUUACAGGUUUUAUUCAGACCAAGGCCACAAAGAAAUACAGAAGAAUAAAAACUCAAGGUUUUUGGGGGGAAAUAAUAAGGAACAGGUAAAAGAAGAAAAUAAAAGAAACGAAGAAA